AUACGAACUGCACAAACGUUAUUGGGAAUCACUGGGCUUAAAGAGUCCGUAGGCGGCCUGGAAGGUGAGGUGUGAAAUCCCACGGCUCAACCGUGGAACUGCGCUUCAAACCGUCAGGCUAGAGGGAGUCAGGGGUGAGCGGAACAGAUGGUGGAGCGGUGAAAUGCGUUGAUAUUAUCUGGAACACCGGUGGCGAAGGCGACUCACUGGGACUCUUCUGACGCUGAGGGACGAAAGCUAGGGUAGCGAACGGGAUUAGAAACCCCAGUAGUCC
This 274-nucleotide ribosomal RNA is filed under the name uncultured bacterium. RNAcentral's name for it is "partial 16S ribosomal RNA". It matches the Rfam family "Bacterial small subunit ribosomal RNA", at positions 523 to 796 of the family's 1533-position model. The record is from RNAcentral.